CAAACACUUGAAUCUUACAUCGCUAUUGAUGUUAAGCAAUUAGUUAAAAGGGCCAUCCGGAACUGUUGGGUUUUAUGACAGUCUUCCUUCCAUACAGACCAUCGCUGCAAAAUAAUUUGAACAUUCAAUUAGAUGAUUAUAAUAUUAUUUGGCAAUCCAAAGAGAACCUGAAAAUAUUAGACCACAAUGAACAGAGACCCCA
RNAcentral lists this long non-coding RNA (202 nucleotides) under Mytilus galloprovincialis (Mediterranean mussel). The record is from RNAcentral. Lineage: Eukaryota; Metazoa; Mollusca; Bivalvia; Mytilida; Mytilidae.